Molecule: long non-coding RNA, 821 nt
Organism: Lytechinus variegatus (green sea urchin)
Lineage: Eukaryota; Metazoa; Echinodermata; Echinoidea; Temnopleuroida; Toxopneustidae
Exons: 3
Source: RefSeq, a predicted model, not a curated record
UCCUUGUUAGCGGGGAAUACCACAUUUGUCAUUUUUUCUGGAUUUAAGUGAUCAUUUACAAUAUGUACAGCUAAAUUGUUUCACUUCUCUGUUAAAUUUUAUUUGUAAAAAGGCUAUUUGACGAUGAGAUAUGGAGGUGGAAUUGCCGUUCUAUUUCUACGCGUUUCUAACCGAAUGAAAAUGUGAAUUUGACUGACGAAAAUUAAUGUUUCCUUUGGAGUAGAUGUUUGUAUAUGGUAUAUACGGCGCCUUCAUACAUUGCACGUCGAAUGUACACUCGAUUACUGGAGGCAAGGACAAUUUCCUGAAAAUCAAAGCCUGUUAUCCUGAAAGUGUCGUCUGAUUCCGUCAACAUGCCCGUGGCUUUAAGUGAGUGGAGAGUCCGAAUCGGAACUUUUAUCCAUAGGAUAAAAGAAUGGGUGGUCAGAGAGAUGAGAGAAGAAUUGCUUAAAGAACGUAUUCAGAGGCUAAGGGUUCUUUGGAAACGACUCAAAGCGAAGAAGGAUGAUUCUGAAGGAGGGUCGCAAGAUCACAAGGCCAGACAAGAUGAAAUGGAUUCAUCCGAUUCUUCGUUGGGAAAUCAACAAGGAGACUGCAAUGCCGAACCAUGCACCAAAGGGGACCAAGAUUCACCACCAUCGAGUUGUGUAGAGAAGGUACAUCAUAAACCCUCUAAUCAAAAGGCAACAUCUCAUACAGAGUCCGCUUCACUAAGUACACCGACACAUUCAAAGGUUUCCUCGGGACUUUGCCUAUCCCAUCCCUUUCUCUCUUCCUUUCUUUCUCAUUCCUUUUAUUGCUGCUUUCCUUUUAUUUUCCUA